UACAGAGGUCCCAAGCGUUUGUUCGGAUUCAUUGGGCGUAAAGGGUGCGUAGGCGGUGAGGUAAGUUGGAUGUGAAAUCCCAGGGCUCAACCCUGGAACUGCAUUCAAUACUGCCUUGCUAGAGUACUGGAGAGGAGAUUGGAAUUUACGGUGUAGCAGUGAAAUGCGUAGAUAUCGUAAGGAAGACCAGUGGCGAAGGCGAAUCUCUGGACAGUUACUGACACUGAGGCACGAAGGCCAGGGGAGCAAACGGG
Molecule: ribosomal RNA, 254 nt
Filed under: uncultured bacterium
Lineage: Bacteria
Description: partial 16S ribosomal RNA
Rfam family: Bacterial small subunit ribosomal RNA
Source: RNAcentral